Molecule: small nucleolar RNA, 144 nt
Filed under: Echinops telfairi (small Madagascar hedgehog)
Lineage: Eukaryota; Metazoa; Chordata; Mammalia; Afrosoricida; Tenrecidae
Description: Small nucleolar RNA SNORA48 (ENSETEG00000024306.1)
Rfam family: Small nucleolar RNA SNORA48
About the family: The snoRNA ACA 48 has been identified to guide pseudouridylation of the residue U3797 in the 28S rRNA subunit. Its host gene EIF4A1 (eukaryotic translation initiation factor 4A1) is shared with U67 and snoRNA mgU6-77
Source: RNAcentral
UAUCCCUGGCUAUGGGCAAAGAGACACCUGAUUGGUGGUGGUCCUCUUAUAUCAGUCAGGGACAGAGCCAACUUGAAGUCCUUUGUUUAUCCUAGCUUGAUGCCUGGAUUGUGGCCAGAGCUGUUUCAUGCCUAGGGCAUGAAG